This 381-nucleotide long non-coding RNA is filed under the name Panax ginseng (ginseng). Its description in RNAcentral is "long non-coding RNA (PGIN_LNC005579)". Lineage: Eukaryota; Viridiplantae; Streptophyta; Magnoliopsida; Apiales; Araliaceae. The record is from RNAcentral.
AGUGUUGAGUUCAGUUCAUUCAAUUCAGUUCAGUCAGUUCUAUCCGUUAAAUUCAGUUCACUUCAUUUCAUAAAUUAACUGUCAUAUGUCUUAUCUGAUUCAUGCCCUAAGUUAAGUCCAUACAGAUUAAUCAAUACUGAAUUAUUGACAAGAAACGAAAAGCAUUAUGCAGAAGUCAUGACAUAGAAAGCUGAAAUUUCAUCAGUAGGUAUCGAUCUAUUCAUUCAUAUUGACAAACACAUUGAGCAAAAACAGAAAUUCCGGAACGAUCUCAAAAACAUAGGAAUCAUAACAAAAGGUCCUUAAACCAAAGUUUUAAAUAAAAUCCUUCAACAACUCACAAAAAAUAGAUAAUUUCCACAGCCUUAAAAAGUCAGAAUA